UAAACAGAUUAUUGUAUUCGAUUGUAUUCACGGUGCAAUCAUGGUCUAUUCAGAUGUUUUUAAACGAAAAGUAAAUCAAUAAACAUAAUAGACUCCU
RNAcentral lists this microRNA precursor (97 nucleotides) under Nicotiana sylvestris (wood tobacco). RNAcentral describes it as "MIR6152 microRNA precursor family". It matches the Rfam family "MIR6152 microRNA precursor family". Lineage: Eukaryota; Viridiplantae; Streptophyta; Magnoliopsida; Solanales; Solanaceae. The record is from Rfam by way of RNAcentral.